AUUCUCUUCUCCAAAUCCUAGAUUUUACAAAGGUUUAACUAAUGUGUUCUACAUAGAAUAAAAACAUUAGAAGUUUCAAAAAUACCAGAAAAAACAUUUACCUUCACUUGCUCUUCAUCUACUUCCGGUGCUUCCAUGAGACGAUCCAAUUCGGCUUCAAUCUCAGCCUCUGUAAGAACCAUUUCUUGAAUUCUUCUUUUCGUAGUAGAACAAGAGAAAAAGAGUUUUGUAUAUAUAUUUUGUUUUUGUUCUUCUUCUUCGUUCUU
This 266-nucleotide small RNA is filed under the name Arabidopsis thaliana (thale cress). RNAcentral describes it as "ATSL144070". Lineage: Eukaryota; Viridiplantae; Streptophyta; Magnoliopsida; Brassicales; Brassicaceae. The record is from RNAcentral.